CCUACGGGUGGCAGCAGUGGGGGAUAUUGCACAAUGGGGGCAACCCUGAUGCAGCGACGCCGCGUGGGCGAAGAAGUAUUUCGGUAUGUAAAGCCCUAUCAGCAGGGAAGAAGAUAUGACGGUACCUGAGUAAGAAGCACCGUCUCAAUACGUGCCAGCAGCCGCGGUAAUACGUAUGGUGCAGGCGUUAUUAGGAUUUAGGGGGUGUAAAGGGAGAGCAUGCGGCAAGGCAAGCCUGAUGUGAAAGCCCACGGCCCAACCGGGGGACUGCAUGGGGAACUGCCGGGCUGGAGUGCCGGAGAGGUAGGUGGAAUUCCUAGUGUAGCGGUGAAAUGCGUAGAGAUUAGGAGGAACACCAGUGGCGAAGGCGGCCUACUGGACGGUGACUGACGCUGAGGUUCGAAAGCGUGGGGAGCAAACAGGAUUAGAUACCCUUGUAGUC
RNAcentral lists this ribosomal RNA (442 nucleotides) under uncultured bacterium. RNAcentral's name for it is "partial 16S ribosomal RNA". It matches the Rfam family "Bacterial small subunit ribosomal RNA", at positions 338 to 795 of the family's 1533-position model. The record is from RNAcentral.